RNAcentral lists this non-coding RNA (30 nucleotides) under Bombyx mori (domestic silkworm). Lineage: Eukaryota; Metazoa; Arthropoda; Insecta; Lepidoptera; Bombycidae. The record is from RNAcentral.
UGAACUUCUUCAUGUGCUGAAUCCAGCGGC